RNAcentral lists this long non-coding RNA (922 nucleotides) under Mustela putorius furo (domestic ferret). RNAcentral describes it as "lncRNA (ENSMPUG00000031727.1)". The record is from RNAcentral. Lineage: Eukaryota; Metazoa; Chordata; Mammalia; Carnivora; Mustelidae.
ACUCACCCGAACCGCGCCCCCCGCCCGCGGACGAGCGCACGUGAGCGCGCGCCGCGCUGUUUUCUAAGAUUAGCUCGGCGGCUUCGGUGGGGUCGCGCGAGCUUGGGUGUUGUAUUAGUCAGCUUGGGCCGCUGUAGCAAGAUGCCACGGCCUGGGUGGCUUGAACAACAGAUCUUUCUUCUUCUACGGUUUUGGAGACUGGAUGUCCAAGACUCAGGGGCCACAAAGUUGUUUGCUGAUGAGUUUCUGCAUUCAGAAUCCAGACACAAGCUCUCCACGGGGAAGUACAUGCACUGUGCUUACUUUAAGGGGAGAGAGUGUCCAUCAUCUCACACCCAGGAGAUCUACGGUAACCACCAUGUCCGCGACUUAGUUGUUGGAAGAGUCACCUCUGUAGUCCUCCAAGGCAGCAUGGUGCCUGAGAGGUAAGGUGCCCCGCUUUGCUCGGUAUCCUAGUGGAAAGGCACCUGCUCAGAAAACUGCCAGACUCCUCUUCUCCCAGGGAGAAUUCUGUGGUCCAGGGGAAUCCCCUUCUGAAAGAGGGUCUGCUUAGAUUUGUCAGGGAAAGUCGUUAAGCAACGCAAACAGCAGAAAUGAGCCCCAAACCAAAGACCAUAAAGAAGACUGAUGACGACACUGGAAGGAGAGGCAAUUCUGUCUACCCAGCAGGCACCGAUCUCACCUCCAAUCAGAAGCCUGGAGUCAAAGCUUGUCUCUGGUACAGACUGGCUGUGUGGCUUUGGGAAGCUUACCCAACCUCUCUGAUUCUCCAAAGUUGUGCUUUGUAAAAUAAGCAUAAUGAUGCCAGUCUUCUGGUAUUAAGGAUUACAUUCGUAUGAGUUUCACAAAAUGGAAAAUGCCUUGUGAUUAUGGAGCUGAUUAUAAAUGUACUGCCUAAAGUAAGCAUUGAGAACAAGCCACA